Macaca mulatta (Rhesus monkey) is the source of this 2554-nucleotide non-coding RNA. The record is from RefSeq and is a predicted model, not a curated record. NCBI's taxonomy places the organism in Eukaryota, Metazoa, Chordata, Mammalia, Primates, Cercopithecidae.
UUAAUUAAUUUUCUCCAGGAAGACUCCUGCAAGGAAAAAUAAAUCCCAAAUCUCAUUUCAGUUGUGAUAAUUUCAGCUGUAAGUGACAAUAACCCUCAACUAAAAAAGCUUAAACAGUAAGAAAUCUAUUAUAUCAUAUAAAAAGAAGCCCAAUGUUAGAUUCAUGGUUGCUUCAUUCACUGAUACAGUGAUGCAAUCAGGAAUCCUUGUAUUCUUCUUCAACCUCUUUCAUCCUCAGGAUUUUGGUUUUGGUUGCAGGCUUAGACCCUCAUUGCUGCAAUAUGGUUGCUGUGGUUUCAGGUAUCAUACCGUUACCCAAAUGCCACCAGGAAAGAUGAGGGCAAGACACCAGAUACUGACCCACCAUGCUGAGGGCUUCGGAUUUUCUUUCUGCUUGAGAAACUUCUGUUAGCCAUUCUUUUAGAGCAGUUCUGCUAGUGAAAAAUUCUUAGUUUUCCUUCCUCUGAGAAUGUCUUUAUUUCAUCUUCAUUUCUGGAGAACAUUUUAACUGGAUAUAGGGUUCUGGAUUGAUACUUCUUUUAUUUCCUCAUGAAAAAAUUUUGUGCCACUUCCCCAUGGUUUCUAAUGAGAAAUCUUUUGUGAGUCUAAGAAUUUUUCUAGUAUAGAUAAAGCAUCAUUUUUCUCUGACUGCUUUUAAGCUUUUUCUUAGUGUUUAGUUUUCAAAAAUCUGAUUAUAAUGUGUUUGAACCUGGACUAUUUUUUUAGUUAUUGUGUUAGAGAUUUGCUCAACUUCUUGAAUCUGCCGUUUAUGUCUCUUGUUAAAUUUAGGGAGAUUUUAGCUAUUAUUUGCACAAAUAUUUUUUUCAGCCCUGCACUCUUUCUUCUGUCCUUUUGGGACUCAGAUGGCACAAAUGUUAUAUUAUUUGUUAUCAUUCAGUAGGUUUUUGAGGCUCUGUUCAUUGUUCUUUUUCCAAUCUUUUUCCCCUGUUUUCAGAUUGAAUAAUUUUUGUUGAUGUAUCUUCAAAUUCACGGAUUUUUAACUCUGUCAUAUUCAUUUUGCUCUUCAAUCAAUAGGCAGGUGUUAAAUUUCAUUCAACAUAUUUUUCAUUUCUAAAAUUUCCAUUUGGGUCUUCCUGAUACCUUCUGUUUCUUUGUUGAGACUUUAUAUUUCUUCAUUUGUUUCAAGAGAAUUCAAAAUCACUUGUUGAAACAUUUUAUGAUGGCUGCUUCAAAAUCCUUGUCAGAUAAUUUCAACAUCUGUCCUUUCUUGGUGUAGGUGUCUUUUGAUUGCUUUUUUCUCAUUCAAAUUGAGAUUUUCAUGGUUUUUGCCAGAAUGGGUAAUUUUAUAUUGUAUCCUGAACAUUAUGAAUACUAAGUAUAAGACUCUGCUUUCUAUUUAAAUCUUCUAUUUUAGCAAGGAUUCAACCUUUUUAUAUAAAGAAUGUACAUCCUAGCCUAGUUUUGUGGGCUGUGAUUCAAAUGCCAAUUUAGAUUUCAAAGCCUUUGCAGUGUUAUUCCGGUCUGCCACAGUUGUGUGCUUCCCAGAGACCAACUUGAAUUCUGGGCAGUGUUUCAGAAGAGUGUUCAAUUUUCAAACCCUUUGCUAUGUUGUUUCUGGGGUUACAUGCAUGGACUUCUAAGAAGUUUUCUCAAGAUUUCAACAGCUCCUUUCUUUCAUUGGAAGGAGGAGUAACACCAUUUCAUUAUUGUAUGGCAGAGAUAGAAGAUAAGGCUCUGCCCACAGUCUCUAGGCUGCAGCAUCUGGUGAGGAAGGGAAGAUAUAUGGCUGCAUUGCUUUUCUGUUGGUGUUCACCUGGAAUAGAGCAGACUCAUUGCUUCCACCUGUUCCUGGACCAGUCCUAGAUGCCAGCAAUAGAGAAAUCCCUGCAGUUCCCCAAAGGAAAAAUGUCACAUGUUCAUGAUUAUUAAACACAGCUGUUUGAUUGGCAUUAAAAUGGAUCUGCCUGAUAAGACCUGGAACUGAGAACCCAAACAGAGCCUAAGAGAAACAUCUCUAUGCUGGCCCAAUCUGUGGAUCCUGGGUUGGUGACCUCGUCCCAGAUGGUCAGCCACAACCAGGGAGGCUUUACUGCUUCAAGACUCACUUUGCUGCUCAGAGGGUCUCUGUGCCUCUGGUCUCUAUGACAAGCUGUUUUCUCUCCUCUGGUGUUGCAUUCUGUUCUUUACAUGACAUAGAAAGACAUUUUAAAGCCACCUAAGUGGGACAAGUCUCUCCUGUGAAGAGUGUAAAUCUAAUUGGAUCCACCAUCUCCUUGGUGCCUUGGCAGUGCCUAUGCAACACCUUUAAAUCUCUUCUAAGCAAUGGUGGUAUUUACUUGUAACAAGUCACCCUUCCACUUUAGAUAUGAAUAAAAUGCCAUGUUGCAAGCAUGGGAUUUGGCCUCCUGAGUGGUUACCAGGGGGCCUAUCAGUCCAUUGACAGUGCUGGAAGAUGUCUCCUUGUAUGAUGAAUCAUGACCAAUAGGAAAUGAGAGAUGGGAGGCGUCUUGCAGGUGAAUCUCUCGUUUCUUCAUUCCAGGGACAGCAACAAGGGCACCACUCUCACACCUGUAAUCCGAGCACUUUGGAGGCC